GCCCCAUAGCUCAGUGGUAGAGCACCUGUUUUGCAUGCAGAGGAUCACAGGUUCAAUACCCAUCAUCUUCA
Podarcis lilfordi (Lilford's wall lizard) is the source of this 71-nucleotide non-coding RNA. Lineage: Eukaryota; Metazoa; Chordata; Lepidosauria; Squamata; Lacertidae. The record is from the annotation of a GenBank genome assembly.